UCAUUCACUGGUCGGUUAACAGUAGCGGUGAAUGUUUAAACCCCCUACUAUGGGAAAGACAAGGAAGCAGGGGUACGGGUGGCGAAGUUAGCGCCCUAUUGUCGAACGGCUGACGAGU
RNAcentral lists this non-coding RNA (118 nucleotides) under unclassified sequences. RNAcentral's name for it is "Betaproteobacteria-1 RNA". It matches the Rfam family "Betaproteobacteria-1 RNA". The record is from Rfam by way of RNAcentral.